Molecule: ribosomal RNA, 402 nt
Filed under: uncultured Methylocystis sp.
Lineage: Bacteria; Pseudomonadati; Pseudomonadota; Alphaproteobacteria; Hyphomicrobiales; Methylocystaceae
Description: bacterial SSU rRNA
Rfam family: Bacterial small subunit ribosomal RNA
Source: RNAcentral
AGUGGGGAAUAUUGGACAAUGGGCGAAAGCCUGAUCCAGCCAUGCCGCGUGAGUGAUGACGGCCCUAGGGUUGUAAAGCUCUUUCGCCAGGGACGAUAAUGACGGUACCUGGAUAAGAAGCCCCGGCUAACUUCGUGCCAGCAGCCGCGGUAAUACGAAGGGGGCUAGCGUUGUUCGGAAUCACUGGGCGUAAAGCGCACGUAGGCGGAUCUUUAAGUCAGGGGUGAAAUCCCGAGGCUCAACCUCGGAACUGCCUUUGAUACUGGGGAUCUCGAGUUCGGGAGAGGUGAGUGGAACUGCGAGUGUAGAGGUGAAAUUCGUAGAUAUUCGCAAGAACACCAGUGGCGAAGGCGGCUCACUGGCCCGAUACUGACGCUGAGGUGCGAAAGCGUGGGGAGCAAA